RNAcentral lists this small RNA (68 nucleotides) under human gut metagenome. The record is from RNAcentral. RNAcentral also lists the same sequence under 1 other name.
CCAUCUACAACCGCACAAAAAAGGUUUUGAAAAAGGGUAACCUUACCUUAAUGGCGAGUCUUAGUUAU